UUUUGUUUAUCCAUUGGCCUGUUGAAGGACAUCUUGGUUGCUUCCAGCUUUAGGCAAUGGUGAAUCAUGUGGUUAUAACAUUCAUGUGGAGUGUUGGAUGUUCUAUUGUGAGAAGGCGAUGCAUGGAACCAAGGCAGCCAUCUUUUUAUCAUGGGGUGAAAAUCUGAGGAUGAAAAGUGAAUAUGCGAAGGAUGCAGAGUGGAAGGAAAGGAAGAACUACAUCCUUGAGGACACGUGGGAGCCAGUGGGCCAAUCCCAGGAUUCCUUGUCAGCUGAACCAUAUCCUGGAAUCCUCCCAGAUACAUCAUCAACGAAAACCCCUGGAUUUCCUUGUGGAUAGCCAAAUCUCUGCCAACUUGUAUAUGAGCAACUUAGGGUCUAGGUGCCUAUUUGGGGUCAAUUAUCACCUCCAGCUUGAUACAACUAAGAGCCAUAAAAGAACAAGAAACAAACUUUUGUUGUGAUGAGCCCAUGAGAUG
This 479-nucleotide long non-coding RNA is filed under the name Homo sapiens (human). RNAcentral's name for it is "HSALNT0388632". The record is from RNAcentral. Lineage: Eukaryota; Metazoa; Chordata; Mammalia; Primates; Hominidae.